Molecule: non-coding RNA, 21 nt
Filed under: Caenorhabditis elegans
Lineage: Eukaryota; Metazoa; Nematoda; Chromadorea; Rhabditida; Rhabditidae
Source: RNAcentral
UGCAGUGCUUUUUUCCAAACC